This 438-nucleotide ribosomal RNA is filed under the name uncultured bacterium. Its description in RNAcentral is "partial 16S ribosomal RNA". It matches the Rfam family "Bacterial small subunit ribosomal RNA", at positions 339 to 795 of the family's 1533-position model. The record is from RNAcentral.
CUACGGGUCGCUCCAGUGAGGAAUAUUGCACAAUAGGGGGAACCCUGAUGCAGCAACGCCGCGUGGAGGAUGACGCAUUUCGGUGUGUAAACUCCUUUUAUAUGUCAAGAAAAUGACGGUAGCAUAUGAAUAAGCGCCGGCUAACUCCGUGCCAGCAGCCGCGGUAAUACGGAGGGCGCAAGCGUUACUCGGAAUCACUGGGCGUAAAGGACGCGUAGGCGGGUUGAAAAGUCAGGUGUGAAAGCCUACAGCUUAACUGAGAACUGCACUUGAUACUCUCAAUCUAGAGUAUGGGAGAGGCAGAUGGAAUUAGUGGUGUAGGGGUAAAAUCCGUAGAUAUCACUAGGAAUACCUAAAGCGAAGGCGAUCUGCUGGAACAUUACUGACGCUAAGGCGUGAAAGCGUGGGGAGCAAACAGGAUUAGAUACCCCUGUAGUC